AUACGUAGGUGGCAAGCGUUGUCCGGAUUUAUUGGGCGUAAAGCGAGCGCAGGCGGUUUCUUAAGUCUGAUGUGAAAGCCCCCGGCUCAACCGGGGAGGGUCAUUGGAAACUGGGAGACUUGAGUGCAGAAGAGGAGAGUGGAAUUCCAUGUGUAGCGGUGAAAUGCGUAGAUAUAUGGAGGAACACCAGUGGCGAAGGCGACUCUCUGGUCGGUAACUGACGCUGAGGCUCGAAAGCGUGGGGAGCAAACAGGAUUAGAUACCCUGGUAGUCCACGCCGUAAACGAUGAGUGCUAAGUGUUGGAGGGUUUCCGCCCUUCAGUGCUGCAGCUAACGCAUUAAGCACUCCGCCUGGGGAGUACGACCGCAAGGUUGAAACUCAAAGGAAUUGACGGGG
Molecule: ribosomal RNA, 397 nt
Filed under: uncultured bacterium
Lineage: Bacteria
Description: partial 16S ribosomal RNA
Rfam family: Bacterial small subunit ribosomal RNA
Source: RNAcentral